This 387-nucleotide long non-coding RNA is filed under the name Polistes fuscatus (common paper wasp). RNAcentral describes it as "uncharacterized LOC122518934". The record is from RNAcentral. Lineage: Eukaryota; Metazoa; Arthropoda; Insecta; Hymenoptera; Vespidae.
UCCUUUUCCUUCUACUCAUCGGAAGAUCGGUCGAUGCCCAAGACGAUGACUCUUUAGCCGGCAGCUUCUUAUCAGAUUAAAGAUCUUCGUCAAAUUGUAAGCUCAUAUACCGGAACGUGUCAUAUCCGAUCCCAUUUUUACGAGCAGGAAAAGAAAGCGAUUUGUAAGAAAUCCGGAACGAGUAGAAAUCUUUUUAUCUGAAAACGUAUACUUACAUACAUACACACACACACACACAUAUAUAUAUAUAAAACAGACACACACAUUCAAAAUAUCAUAGUAACGUUACGUAUUUAUAAAGUGUAUUUAGAGUGUAUCCUAUGUAAAAGAUGACUCUAAUUGUAAGAUGAUCGAGAAAAUAAAGAAAGCGAGUAUCUGUAAGAUAUA